RNAcentral lists this ribosomal RNA (910 nucleotides) under Clitopilus subalbidus. RNAcentral's name for it is "Clitopilus sp. SPJ-2022a partial large subunit ribosomal RNA". Lineage: Eukaryota; Fungi; Basidiomycota; Agaricomycetes; Agaricales; Entolomataceae. The record is from RNAcentral.
UAGCAUAUCAAUAAGCGGAGGAAAAGAAACUAACAAGGAUUCCCCUAGUAACUGCGAGUGAAGCGGGAARAGCUCAAAUUUAAAAUCUGGUAGUUUCACUGCCCGAGUUGUAAUCUAGAGAAGCGUUAUCCGCGCUGGACCGUGUAUAAGUCUCCUGGAAUGGAGCGUCAUAGAGGGUGAGAAUCCCGUCUUUGACACGGACUACCAGGGCUUUGUGAUGCGCUCUCAAAGAGUCGAGUUGUUUGGGAAUGCAGCUCUAAAUGGGUGGUAAAUUCCAUCUAAAGCUAAAUAUUGGCGAGAGACCGAUAGCGAACAAGUACCGUGAGGGAAAGAUGAAAAGAACUUUGGAAAGAGAGUUAAACAGUACGUGAAAUUGUUGAAAGGGAAACGCUUGAAGUCAGUCGCGUCAGCUAGGAAUCAGCCUUGCUUUUGCUUGGUGUACUUUCUGGUUGACGGGUCAGCAUCAGUUUUGAUCGGUGGAAAAAGGCCAGCGGAAUGUGGCACCUUCGGGUGUGUUAUAGCUGCUGGUUGUAUACAUCGGUUGGGACUGAGGAACUAGCACUCUGUGUUUUAGAUGCUGGCAUAAUGGCUUUAAUCGACCCGUCUUGAAACACGGACCAAGGAGUCUAACAUGCCUGCGAGUGUUUGGGUGGAAAACCCGAGCGCGUAAUGAAAGUGAAAGUUGAGAUCCCUGUCGUGGGGAGCAUCGACGCCCGGACCAGACCUUUUGUGACGGAUCCGCGGUAGAGCAUGUAUGUUGGGACCCGAAAGAUGGUGAACUAUGCCUGAAUAGGGUGAAGCCAGAGGAAACUCUGGUGGAGGCUCGUAGCGAUUCUGACGUGCAAAUCGAUCGUCAAAUUUGGGUAUAGGGGCGAAAGACUAAUCGAACCAUCUAGUAGCUGGUUCCUGC